This is a long non-coding RNA of Macadamia integrifolia, 1133 nucleotides long. RefSeq lists it as uncharacterized. The transcript has 2 exons. NCBI's taxonomy places the organism in Eukaryota, Viridiplantae, Streptophyta, Magnoliopsida, Proteales, Proteaceae. The record is from RefSeq and is a predicted model, not a curated record.
CCUUACUAGAAGGUAACUUUAUCUGUCGCUUAUGUACUAAUAUGAUAAACACUUCCCCUCACGUUGUAAGUGAGUCAAAAGGAUUAAAAUCAUCUGAGGUGAUCUGAGAGUGAUAGUAAGGAUCCAAUGGCUGGGAAGACUCCAACAUGCACCCUAUCUGUUGGAUCCUCACUGUCACUCAUUGUCACUCACUGCCUCGAUGAACGUUAAUCUUGUUCUCCACAUGGUCAUCUUGUUCUCCAUUGGGCAAGGAUGACGUCAGGAUAACUUAUGGCCAUUACGAGCAAGUAAAAUUACAUGUGAACAUAAGGUCGAAGUGGAAGCAAGAAGGCGGGUUGUGUUUAAUGUUAACUUAAUUAUAUCCUAUUUUUAGUUUUAUUCCACUCAUAGAAGAUAAUCUGAGAUUUUCAUAUUAGUUGUUUAAUUUUUUAUUUUUGGUAAAUCACAUUAAUUUUUUUUUCUUUUUUUCUUGGUAAAUUACAUUAAUUGCUUUUGUUCCUCUAUGAGCGUUACUCUUGUUCUUCACAUGGUAAUCCUGUACUCCACUAGGUAAGGAUGACGCAAGGAUGAUGUACUGCCUUACGAGAAAGUAACUUUAUCUGUCGUUUGUGUACUAAUAUGAUUAACACUUCCCCUCACGUUGUAAGUGAGUCAAUAGGAUUCAAAUCAUCUGAGGUGAUUUGUAAGUGACAAUAACGAUCCAGUGGUUGGGAGGGCCUCGACAUGCACCCUAUCCGUUGGAUCCUCACUGUCACUCAUUGCCUCAAUGAGCAUUACUUUUGUUCUCCACAUGGUCAUCUUGUUCUCCAUUGCGCAAGGAUGACGUAAGGAUAAUUUAUGGCUAUUACAACCCCUGCACCAAUGCACAAAUCAAUGGGAGGCUGCACUGAAGUAUCUUCAACACAUAGGAUGGGGAUAACGCAAUCGUUUCGCAACCACCUAUGUCUAGGCGUAGACAUACACAAAUGGGUAACUUUAUUUUACUUACUUUUAAUUUUUUUUAUUAGAAUCAUUAAUUAGAAUCUUCCAUCAAUUGGAUCAAUAUGACCAACAAAGAGGUCCGCGGCUGAGUGUUGAGGUGUAAGUGAUUCUAAUUCACUCCCAAGUAAAUUAAUACAAUUUAAUUUGUCACA